Molecule: long non-coding RNA, 1512 nt
Organism: Nothoprocta perdicaria
Lineage: Eukaryota; Metazoa; Chordata; Aves; Tinamiformes; Tinamidae
Exons: 4
Source: RefSeq, a predicted model, not a curated record
CAAAUCAAUACCUAUCAAAAUACAAAUACAAUUUAAAUCAAAGGGCACUUGUUGGGUGCAGAUCCUACUAAUUAGGUAUGAUUUCCAAACAAUUUCUUAAAUUAUUUAUCCAAGGGUUGGGUACCAGGCACUUUACGUGCCUCAGAGUGACUAUUAUAAGCCUCUUGUCAUGAUGCAGCAAAUGUGAAAUGUAGUGCAAUGGAGUAUGAUUUGUAACCUUGAUGAACUAAUGUAAUAUCAAUACACAUCACUCUCCACAAAAAAAAAAGUCUCGUUAUAACGUCUAAUGAGAUAUGUUGAAAGCCAAUAACCUCAUGAAAUGGACAUGUCUCGAUGAAGGAUACAGAUUGUGCUGCUAGAAAUCAAUUAAAAAUGCAAUAUCAACCUGCAGUGGAAGUCACUAAGCCACCAUCGCCAAACCAGAGCUUUGCAUCCUGCGUGGACAUCCAUCACGAGAGCGGCUCCCUCCAGGCUGCCUGUCAGCUCUUUUAGGAAAUGAUUUGGAAACAAYCACAUGCAGAAGAUGCCAUCUGAGGGAAACCUACCUCCCAUAGGAGCCCCAGGUCAAGCAACUGCCUUAACUGGAGAGACGUGCCCUUUUCCACAGGUGUCCUUCUCYGGAUGAAGAUCAUGGCUGAUGUGUCACAGUAGAAUCCAGGACACCAUGGGCAGAGGACCAACCGAAACCAGGACCCACUUGAGCUAAACAGCCUGCCCAAGAAUUUGGAGAAGGCGGAUGAUGUUGUAGGCGAAGGCGGCUUUGUCUUGGAGUUGUGCUUGCUUGCUUUCCCUCUGCCUYUCCCUCUCCCUGAAAAUCCCUGUAAUGUAAAAUGGUUAAACACUGGGGGAAGAAGCAUUCAUCUUCUGAUCAGUAAAUACUUCCUUGUGCUGAAUGGUGCCUGCUGACUUUACUGCUGCUGCAACUUUUUAAAAUGCUUCCAGGAAAUCUCAUUAGAUUUUAAUUAAUAUUAUUAUUAUUAUUAUUAUUAAGGAAUUUGAACAGAGUUUGUAAUAAUUGGAAUUUAGCUUUUUAAUAAAAUCUGCAAAUAAUAUGCCAGCAUGUAUUUGAUCUCAUAUACAUAUCUGAUAAGAAUGCUGAUUUGUAGUAAAAUUUGCAGACAUGGGUCUGUUGUCUUCGGAUUAAUGAAUAUAAAAGCUGGCGGCUUUAUGCUGGCAGUAUUACGGUAAGCCUAUAUUUUUAUAGUGGUUCUGAGCAACGCCUUCAGUAUUUGUGAAGAUUAAGAUUUAGCAUGCAGAAGUAAUGCCCAUUAUGAUAAGAUUGUCCACAGUGAAUUGAGGAGAGCAUUUGCUUAAUUAAAAGUAUUUAUCUUAGAUGAUUUAAGAACUAUGUUCUACUGCCGAACUGCGUAUGUAAAUAUAUUCCCUAUAAUCAGUUAAAUACUGAUGACUCUACUGAAGAGAAGAAGAGAAAGGUAAAAGGAAAAUGAUAGAUCUGACUGCAAGGGGCCCCACGGACCUGGUCCUGGGAUGGGGCAGGUGCCACCACGUGCA